RNAcentral lists this ribosomal RNA (1428 nucleotides) under uncultured organism. RNAcentral's name for it is "16S ribosomal RNA". It matches the Rfam family "Bacterial small subunit ribosomal RNA". The record is from RNAcentral.
ACACAUGCAAGUCGAGGGGCAGCAUGGUCUUAGCUUGCUAAGGCCGAUGGCGACCGGCGCACGGGUGAGUAACGCGUAUCCAACCUGCCUUACACUCUUGGACAGCCUUCUGAAAGGGAGAUUAAUACAAGAUGUUAUCAUGAGUAAGCAUUUUCGCAUGAUUAAAGGUUUACCGGUGUAAGAUGGGGAUGCGUUCCAUUAGAUAGUAGGCGGGGUAACGGCCCACCUAGUCUUCGAUGGAUAGGGGUUCUGAGAGGAAGGUCCCCCACAUUGGAACUGAGACACGGUCCAAACUCCUACGGGAGGCAGCAGUGAGGAAUAUUGGUCAAUGGACGAGAGUCUGAACCAGCCAAGUAGCGUGAAGGAUGAAGGUUCUAUGGAUUGUAAACUUCUUUUAUACGGGAAUAAACGAAUCCACGCGUGGAUUUUUGCAUGUACCGUAUGAAUAAGGAUCGGCUAACUCCGUGCCAGCAGCCGCGGUAAUACGGAGGAUCCGAGCGUUAUCCGGAUUUAUUGGGUUUAAAGGGAGCGUAGAUGGGUUGUUAAGUCAGUUGUGAAAGUUUGCGGCUCAACCGUAAAAUUGCAAUUGAUACUGGCAGUCUUGAGUACAGUUGAGGUAGGCGGAAUUCGUGGUGUAGCGGUGAAAUGCUUAGAUAUCACGAAGAACUCCGAUUGCGAAGGCAGCUUACUAACCUGUAACUGACAUUGAUGCUCGAAAGUGUGGGUAUCAAACAGGAUUAGAUACCCUGGUAGUCCACACGGUAAACGAUGAAUACUCGCUGUAGGCGAUAUACAGUCUGCGGCCAAGCGAAAGCAUUAAGUAUUCCACCUGGGGAGUACGCCGGCAACGGUGAAACUCAAAGGAAUUGACGGGGGCCCGCACAAGCGGAGGAACAUGUGGUUUAAUUCGAUGAUACGCGAGGAACCUUACCCGGGCUUAAAUUGCAACCGAAUAUGGCGGAAACGCUAUAGCUAGCAAUAGCGGUUGUGAAGGUGCUGCAUGGUUGUCGUCAGCUCGUGCCGUGAGGUGUCGGCUUAAGUGCCAUAACGAGCGCAACCCUUGCCGAUAGUUACUAACAGGUCAUGCUGAGGACUCUGUCGGGACUGCCAUCGUAAGAUGUGAGGAAGGUGGGGAUGACGUCAAAUCAGCACGGCCCUUACGUCCGGGGCUACACACGUGUUACAAUGGGGGGUACAGAGGGCUGCUACCACGCAAGUGGAUGCCAAUCCCAAAAACCUCUCUCAGUUCGGAUUGAAGUCUGCAACCCGACUUCAUGAAGCUGGAUUCGCUAGUAAUCGCGCAUCAGCCACGGCGCGGUGAAUACGUUCCCGGGCCUUGUACACACCGCCCGUCAAGCCAUGGGAGCCGGGGGUACCUGAAGUGCGUAACCGCAAGGAGCGCCCUAGGGUAAAACUGGUGACUGGGGC